UACCAGUUUGCUAGGAGAGGCAUUAAUGUC
Molecule: non-coding RNA, 30 nt
Filed under: Mus musculus (house mouse)
Lineage: Eukaryota; Metazoa; Chordata; Mammalia; Rodentia; Muridae
Source: RNAcentral